Long non-coding RNA from Pomacea canaliculata, 538 nucleotides. RefSeq lists it as uncharacterized. NCBI's taxonomy places the organism in Eukaryota, Metazoa, Mollusca, Gastropoda, Architaenioglossa, Ampullariidae. The record is from RefSeq and is a predicted model, not a curated record. The transcript has 2 exons.
AAUGGCGUCUACCAGAAAGUCUUCACGAGUUCGUACUGUCCCCGGCUUUAGUCCAGCCAAAAGAAGAAGACCAGAAAGUCUGGCAAGAUGAUCACCAGAGCCUCUGCCAUUAUUUCACCGAAGCUGCACCUGGUGGUGGACGCCUACGUCUUAGCUCUGACGUCACGUUUCCCGCCGACAAGGCAGCUGGUGGGCAGUGACGUGCGUCUGUUCUACCGCCUGUUGUGGAACUUGCCUACGCCCCUCACCGACUGGAUUCUCGUCAAAUCAAGAGAGUUACUUGCAAACUAAUAGCAAAGACCCAGUCUACUUUGACUUCAAACAGUAAUGCUACAAACAUACAUUUGAUUAAACUUUCCCUCACACAUCAAGAUACUUAAAUCUCUUAUUAAAUGUUACACAUACGUAGAAUAAUUUAUUAACAAGCAUACGUGCUAUCCUAUUUGUUGUCGAAGAUUUAAAGGCUCACUUGAUGAAAAUAUAUAUGUCUCGAACAAAACUUCGAAAGAAAAUAAAUCAAAAUAUUUGCUUUUCAAAA